Molecule: transfer RNA, 95 nt
Rfam family: tRNA
About the family: Transfer RNA (tRNA) molecules are approximately 80 nucleotides in length.
CGGGCCGUAGCUCAGCGGUACGCCCUCGGGGCGCGCCAGAGAGCGGCCGGCUGUAGACCGGCAGGUCCCGGGUUCGAAUCCCGGCGGCCCGACCA